GCCUGGGUGGCUCAGUGGUUGAGCAUCUGCCUUUGACCCAGGUCAGGAUCCUGGGAUCAAGUCCCACACAGGCU
This 74-nucleotide transfer RNA is filed under the name Canis lupus familiaris (dog). It matches the Rfam family "tRNA". From Rfam's summary of the family: Transfer RNA (tRNA) molecules are approximately 80 nucleotides in length. Their secondary structure includes four short double-helical elements and three loops (D, anti-codon, and T loops). RNAcentral also lists the same sequence under 1 other name. Lineage: Eukaryota; Metazoa; Chordata; Mammalia; Carnivora; Canidae. The record is from Rfam by way of RNAcentral.